CCACUUGUCUCGCCGUCCGCAACAAGGGCGAUAAGCACGAGGUGCUCCGUUUAGGUCCUAACGUGACGCUUUCCUAAUGCCCACAUGUAGGUUGGCAGUUUUACCACGAAGAGGCCUACCGCAAAUGUACUUCCUCUUUCCGUUCGUGGUGCUUCGCGCUGUAGCUCUGCUCAAAAGAAUGCCGCUUGAUCCCGUUUCUGUUCCAAAUAAUACAUCCAGUUAACCCAAUAAUGAAUCUUGUGGAAUGACAAGAAGAUUAAAAGAAGACAUUUGUUCUACCUAGUGUGUUGUAUUGAAGGUUCACCAGGAAUGUAGCGGUUCCUUUAAAAAAAGAAGACUGUCUUAUAAAUAGUCUGGUUUGGUUCAGUCAAACAUUGGCAGAGUGUAUUUUAAGACCUGGAGUCUUUGCUUCUUAUCUGAUUGUCCACAUACCCUGAUUGGAUGAUGCAUCAUGUGUCAUGUAAAUCCGGCUGAAGGGGCUGUGGGGAGAUGGGAGGAAAACACCUUUUCUGUUCCUGAGUUAGCAAAAAGGUAAACAAAGUUAGUGAUGACUCACCAACACAUCUAGAUCUUCAUCUGGCUUUUCAAAUGGCUGUAAAUGUUCUUCCUUCUAGCACCUGAAACGUGUUAUGUUCUACUUCCCCACUGGAGCCCACGGCUUCAUUUCACAGGACUGAGGAGAAAGGAGAGCAUCGGCAAAAGAAUCAGCUUUCACCCUUGAGCUAUAUGGGAAAUUAAGCCCUCAGAAGACUGCGGAUGGGUCGGCACGUGUUCCAGCACUGCAUGACAAAAAAGAAGAGCUUCAUCCCCGUCAGGUCCUGAGGAUAUCACAGGCGUUAUUUCAUGACAAACAUAUUACAGUGAUUCAAAUGUUUCCUUUAGGCUUCAGAUUAGUAGUUUCUGGCAUCACAGUGCUGUAUGGAGUCAGAUAAAUUAAAUGUGUUCAGAUUUAAAUGUGACAUUUUCAUGUUCCCUCUGUCGGGUUGCAUUAAUAAAGACUUUCCAAUAACUUCA
Gasterosteus aculeatus aculeatus (three-spined stickleback) is the source of this 1014-nucleotide non-coding RNA. Lineage: Eukaryota; Metazoa; Chordata; Actinopteri; Perciformes; Gasterosteidae. The record is from RefSeq and is a predicted model, not a curated record.